AGCCUACGGGAGGCAGCAGUGGGGAAUAUUGCACAAUGGGGGAAACCCUGAUGCAGCGACGCCGCGUGAGUGAGGAAGUAUUUCGGUAUGUAAAGCUCUAUCAGCAGGGAAGAAAAUGACGGUACCUGACUAAGAAGCCCCGGCUAACUACGUGCCAGCAGCCGCGGUAAUACGUAGGGCGCGAGCGUUAUCCGGAUUUAUUGGGUGUAAAGGGUGCGUAGGCGGCUUCUUAAGUCUGUAGUCUAAGCUCGGUGCUUAACUCCGGUUCGCUACAGAAACUGGUUAGCUUGAGUAUGGUAGAGGCA
Molecule: ribosomal RNA, 305 nt
Filed under: uncultured bacterium
Lineage: Bacteria
Description: bacterial SSU rRNA
Rfam family: Bacterial small subunit ribosomal RNA
Source: RNAcentral